UACAGAGGAGCCAAGCGUUGUCCGGAUUGACUGGGCGUAAAGCGCACGCAGGCGGCACCGCGCGUGGGGUGUGAAAUCUGGCCGCUUAACGGCCAGGCGCCAUCCCAUACGGCGGAGCUGGAGUGAUGCAGAGGUCGGUGGAAUUGCCGGUGUAGUGGUGAAAUGCGUAGAUAUCGGGAGGAACACCAGUGGCGAAGGCGGCUUCCUGGCCUGUUCUUGACGCUGAGGCGCGAAAGCUAGGGUAGCAAACGGG
Molecule: ribosomal RNA, 253 nt
Filed under: uncultured bacterium
Lineage: Bacteria
Description: partial 16S ribosomal RNA
Rfam family: Bacterial small subunit ribosomal RNA
Source: RNAcentral